UACCCGGUUCCGCCGCCGCCGUCGUGGUUGUCGGCGCCUCCACGACUUCCUCUUUCCCCCUGUCUCAAACCCACAACUUGUGCUCCCUCUCCCUUUCGUUCCUAACUGUGGUUCUUCUCAACCCCCUGUUCGCACUUUGCUCUCUUCUUCCUCGCUCGGCGUCCAUCUUCCAUCGUCUUCGUCCUGCGCGCCGCCGUCUUGUCGCCCCUGUUCCCGAUUCUAGGGUUUCUCCCGUUCGUGAUUCGAUUUGGGAACUUGAGGUGCUAAGGUUUCUGCGCCCUGCCAAAUUUGAUUCUUUCUUCCUCCUCCUCUGAGAAUUCAAGAUGUUUUGGUGCUUGGCUGGCUUGUCUACUGCAUCUCCUAGUGAUCAAAGCUUUGCCAUGAUGGAAGUAUUAAUCAAGAAGCAGUUGCUGAUAACAAUGCAUCUGUGAGUAAUAAUUCACUUGCCAAGAAGCUCUUUGUAAUUUCAGUUAUGUUUUUAACUUUGUAAUUGCUGUU
Molecule: non-coding RNA, 498 nt
Organism: Arachis ipaensis
Lineage: Eukaryota; Viridiplantae; Streptophyta; Magnoliopsida; Fabales; Fabaceae
Source: RefSeq, a predicted model, not a curated record